Molecule: small nucleolar RNA, 106 nt
Filed under: Dasypus novemcinctus (nine-banded armadillo)
Lineage: Eukaryota; Metazoa; Chordata; Mammalia; Cingulata; Dasypodidae
Description: Small nucleolar RNA SNORA38 (ENSDNOG00000039840.1)
Rfam family: Small nucleolar RNA SNORA38
About the family: ACA38 is a member of the H/ACA class of snoRNA that guide the sites of modification of uridines to pseudouridines.
Source: RNAcentral
CCCUCCUACAAAGGUGUGCCUGUGGUUUCCUGUCCUUAGACAAGUAAGCACUGGAGAUAAAGAGAUGGGGACCUGGAGAAGUCUGGAGCCACCCAUUCCCACACAG